CUACUUACCUGGCAGGGGAGAGACCAUGAUCACGAAGGUGGUUUUCCCAGGGUGAGUCUUCUCCAUUGUACUCUGGAGGCCUUCUCCAUUGUACUCUGGAUGUGCUGAUCCCUGCAAUUUCCCCAAAUCUGGGAAACUCGACUGCAUAAUUUGUGGUAAUGGGGAAUUGCAUUUGCACUCUCCCCUG
Pongo abelii (Sumatran orangutan) is the source of this 187-nucleotide non-coding RNA. The record is from Rfam. Lineage: Eukaryota; Metazoa; Chordata; Mammalia; Primates; Hominidae.